UACGUAGGGGGCAAGCGUUGUCCGGAAUUAUUGGGCGUAAAGCGCGCGCAGGCGGUGGAUGAAGUUUGGUGUUUAAGCCCAGGGCUCAACCCUGGUGAGCACUGAAAACUGGUUCACUUGAGUACAGAAGAGGAGAGUGGAAUUCCACGUGUAGCGGUGAAAUGCGUAGAUAUGUGGAGGAACACCAGUGGCGAAGGCGACUCUCUGGUCUGAAACUGACGCUGAGGCGCGAAAGCGUGGGGAGCAAACAGG
RNAcentral lists this ribosomal RNA (252 nucleotides) under uncultured bacterium. Its description in RNAcentral is "partial 16S ribosomal RNA". It matches the Rfam family "Bacterial small subunit ribosomal RNA", at positions 524 to 776 of the family's 1533-position model. The record is from RNAcentral.